Molecule: ribosomal RNA, 254 nt
Filed under: uncultured bacterium
Lineage: Bacteria
Description: partial 16S ribosomal RNA
Rfam family: Bacterial small subunit ribosomal RNA
Source: RNAcentral
UACGGGGGGAGCAAGCGUUGUUCGGAUUUACUGGGCGUAAAGCGCACGUAGGCGGCUUUGUAAGUUAGAGGUGAAAGCCCGGGGCUCAACUCCGGAAUCGCCUUUAAGACUGCAUCGCUAGAAUUGUGGAGAGGUAAGUGGAAUUCCGAGUGUAGAGGUGAAAAUUCGUAGAUAUUCGGAAGAACACCAGUGGCGAAGGCGACUUACUGGACACAUAUUGACGCUGAGGUGCGAAAGCGUGGGGAGCAAACAGG